RNAcentral lists this ribosomal RNA (453 nucleotides) under Triticum aestivum (bread wheat). RNAcentral's name for it is "partial small subunit ribosomal RNA". The record is from RNAcentral. Lineage: Eukaryota; Viridiplantae; Streptophyta; Magnoliopsida; Poales; Poaceae.
AUGGUUGAUGCCAUGAUAAGUAUAAGUGUUCUUGGAUUUCUAGUUUGGGCUCAUCAUAUGUUUACUGUGGGCUUAGACGUUGAUACGCGUGCCUACUUCACCGCAGCUACCAUGAUCAUAGCUGUGCCCACAGGAAUCAAAAUCUUUAGUUGGAUCGCUACCAUGUGGGGAGGUUCAAUACAAUACAAAACACCCAUGUUAUUUGAUGUAGGGUUCAUCUUUUUGUUCACCAUAGGAGGGCUCACUGGAAUAGUUCUAGCAAACUCUGGGCUAGACACUGCUCUACAUGAUACUUAUUAUGUGGUUGCACAUUUCCAUUAUGUACUUUCUAUGGGAGCCGUUUUUGCUUUAUUUGCUGGAUUUUACUAUUGGGUGGGUAAAAUCUUUGGUCGGACAUAUCCUGAAACUUUAGGCCAAAUCCAUUUUUGGAUCACUUUUUCGGGGUUAAUCUAA